This is a non-coding RNA of Scomber scombrus (Atlantic mackerel), 409 nucleotides long. NCBI's taxonomy places the organism in Eukaryota, Metazoa, Chordata, Actinopteri, Scombriformes, Scombridae. The record is from the annotation of a RefSeq genome assembly.
AGCCACAGAAAUCCUCCUCAUCAAAAACAUGACUUUGAUCUCCGUCCUCAUCUGGACUCUCCUCUGCUGCUGCUUCAUAGAGUCCAGAGGUCAGAUCACAGUGACUCAGCCUGCAGCAGUGAGAUCUGCUCUGGGAGGAUCUGUCACUAUCAACUGUAAAGUCAGUCAUGAUGUUUUUGUUGGGAGUUACCAUGACCAAUACUGGUACCAACAGAGAGAUGGAGAGACUCCUAAACUGUUUAUAUAUGGUUCUAAAUAUCGAGCAUCAGGGAUUCCAGGUCGUUUUACAGGCAGUGGAUCAAACUCUGACUUCACUCUGACCAUCAGUGGAGUUCAGACUGAAGAUACAGCAGUUUAUUACUGUAACAGUCAGCAUUAUAUCAACAGUCAGCAUAUGUUCACACAGUGA